Molecule: long non-coding RNA, 781 nt
Organism: Schistocerca americana (American grasshopper)
Lineage: Eukaryota; Metazoa; Arthropoda; Insecta; Orthoptera; Acrididae
Exons: 4
Source: RefSeq, a predicted model, not a curated record
UACUUCUUCAGUCCUACGCGGAAGGAGACAUUUUGAGAAUUUUCCAGCAUUAUGACGUCACGGGAAUUCCAUUGUGAAGGUAUACGUAUGACUGAAGAUACUUGCGAAUCAGUACUGUUCGGGAAUUGCGUUGCGAUGGUGCGGAGAAGAUGAGUCCUUUGUGAAAUCUGUCAUGGCGUCUGGAGGGUGUGAAUGUGAGAAGAGAACUUGUGUGACAGCGGGGGAGAACUGAUAGUAGCAGAGAUCUGAUAGUUGGAAACAACGCUUUGGUUUGUAAAUUUCUCGAUGUAAUUUUAUGCUGUUGAAUUACUGUUCUUGAUUCGUGCUGAAUUGUAUUUACGUUCCACGAAUAUUGCUUGUUCUAUUGUAACUUUCCAAUGUGUUGUAAAAUAAAAUAAAAUAUAUUGUUUUGCUUCUUUAUUUGAACCUAUUAUUCCUCUCUUCGUAUAAUGUGUGUAUUCAUGUACAGACGUCAUGGGGAAAGGAGUCUUAAGGGUUGCGAAUGCCACUUCGUCUCAUCGGCCAUUAUGAAGAAUGUGACGUAGUAUUUGAGUCUGGAAGUGCUUAAGGAGACUGGACUCCUGAAAUAUCUGGUGGUUCGUCAGAAGUACGUGCGCACUCAUUAUCAGGACCAGUAUAGCAUGCAGCAAGAUGUUGUGCAGUACUGAUCUACGUGGCCCAGCUUAAGAUGUUGAGGAGCUCCCUAAAACUGUUGAUAGUGCAGUACUUACUUGGAUGCAGGCAGUAUCCAGUGAAGGUAAAGUACAUUGUAAAGCUGCAU